CAGUAGACGACUGGGUUGAUAGGCCAGAUGUGGAAGCCCGGUAACGGGUGGAGCUGACUGGUACUAAUAGGCCGAGGGCUUGUCCUCAGUUG
RNAcentral lists this ribosomal RNA (92 nucleotides) under Streptomyces sp. SDr-06. Its description in RNAcentral is "partial 23S ribosomal RNA". It matches the Rfam family "Bacterial large subunit ribosomal RNA", at positions 2838 to 2925 of the family's 2925-position model. Lineage: Bacteria; Bacillati; Actinomycetota; Actinomycetes; Kitasatosporales; Streptomycetaceae. RNAcentral also lists the same sequence under 2 other names. The record is from RNAcentral.